Glycine soja is the source of this 3351-nucleotide long non-coding RNA. RefSeq lists it as uncharacterized. The transcript has 6 exons. NCBI's taxonomy places the organism in Eukaryota, Viridiplantae, Streptophyta, Magnoliopsida, Fabales, Fabaceae. The record is from RefSeq and is a predicted model, not a curated record.
CAAAGGCAGAGUCAUCAAAUUGAGAUGUUAACUAGGGUUAAGAGCACAUUCUCCUUCUCCUUCGUAGCCACAUUUGGGUUCUCCUUCAUCGCUAUAUUCGCCUUCCCGGACCGUUUCCACAGCGCCUUCGUCUCACUCCUUCAAAGCUGGGUAGAGCCUCCCUUUAAUCUCUUUCCGCAUCUCAAUAGGACAAUGUCUCAUGACCAUUCGCGACAUCCUCAAAAAUCCUGCACAGAUCUCGCAACUCGGUAGAUAAAGAUAGAGAGAGAGAAAAAAAAAGGAUUGUUGGUUUGUGUCGUUUUUGGAAGAGAGAGAGAGUGAGAAAAAUGCAUAAACGAAGGAGCGAGGGAAGAGAAACAAAUUCACCAUCUUUCCCUCUUUCUUAAUGCUUAUAUUUAUGGGUUUCGCUUCGUUUUCUCUUUGACAGCUUCGUUUUCCUCAAAGCCAGUGCUCGUGACCCGUUUCCAUCACUAAAAUGGGUUACGCGAGCUCGAAGAAGACAGUUACCAGAGCCGGCAGCUCUACCCCGGAGGGGCCAUGCAUGGCGUGUUUGAGUUCGCAAAGAUGGAGCAAGAAUGAGUCAGGGUGAAACCGAAAAGGUGUCGUGACGGAGGCGCAUGAGGGAGAGGUGCGUGAGUGGAGAAAGGGGAGCUUGAGAAGGGGGACUGGGUCGGUGUCUUUAAGGUUGUCGUGUAGGUUUGUUGUGGCUGAGCAGAAUGCGGCUGGGUGGCCACCUUGGCUUACUUUUGUUGCUAGGGAAGCCAUACAAGGGUGGGUCUCACUCAUAACAGAUUCUUUUGAGAGAUUAGAUAAGCUGGUGAUCUUAUUGAUGAUGAGAAUUGGCCUCCAAUUUUCCUAAUCAUUCAUCAUGAUAUUGCCAAUAAGAUACCGAUUCAUGCUCAAAGGCUGCAAUAUUUGGCCUUUGCAAGUUGGUUAGAAUUUUUUUCUUACUUACACAUCCCAAUCAAAAGCUGCAACAGAUUCCACCACAUAUUUGAUUGGGCACAAGAAUCUUAUCCUCAACAGAUCAUUCCAGGUUUUAUUCAUCAACUAAAGGCAUGGUGACAAAAUGAACUGUAAAAUGCUCCUUUGAAAGCUAUCUUUGCCUGGUUUUGUGCAUUGAGUCAAUUAGAGCUUGUUGAAUCCCAGGAUAGGAUAAAAGACUCUUAUUCAAAAGAAAAUUUGUACCUAAGGACUUUAUGAAGAGAAAUUUAUAGGAUCCGGAUCUGCAAGUUGGUGUCAAAUAUAAUACCCUAACGACCUCGAAAGAAAAGACAAAAGAGCCAUCAAUGGUUGAGCCAGAAUCAGAGCCAACUACUAAAACAAUCGAAGUAGCUAGAGAAGUCCACGUGGACAGCUUCAACAUUGGCAGAUGAACAGGAGGAAGUUGGUGGUCAUUUGGAGCAAUAAUGUAUGAAAUAUUGGUUGGUUACCCUCCAUUUUACUCCGAUGACCAAAUAACCACAUGCAGAAAGGUACCAUCCUUAAUCGGCUUAAUGGCUUCUCAUAAACAUAAUAAUUUGUUGCAUCUCAUUUGUAGUUUAAUUUGAUGGUGACUUAACACUUAGUGUUAUUUCCUAUUGCUACUGCUUGUGUUCUUUCUAAGACUUAAAUAUUCUACCCAUUACAGUUGAUGUAUGUCUAAUGGCUUUUUAUUCUUUCAUUUUAUUAGCUAUUGACUAUGAAAAGAUUAUGAUUUGUUUUAAGUGCAGACCUGUCCAAAUACUGAAGAGCACAUUAGGCUAUGCAACUUAAUGUCUUGAAAAGUGGCCUGGUUAUGAUUGAAAUAAACCACUUGUACAAGUCGAGUGAUUAAUCAAGUGAAAUAUUCUCACCCUCUUUACUAAAGAAUCACUCGUCUAUGUUACUUUGACAUUGAUGAUUGAUGACAUUGGUGAAAUAUUCUCACCCUCUUUACUAAAAAAUCACUCGUCUAUAUUACUUUGACAUUGGUGAUUGAUGAUUCCUAUCUAGGAAACUUACAUUUGAAUUUUAUUGGUAUUUACUUGUUUGUUUUGUUUAAGACACAUGCAUUUUUGAGAAAUUUUUAUCAUGUUUGAGAAUUUUUAUGUGUAUAUAGUAUUAUAUAAAUGUUAGAAAAUUAUGUAAAAAAUUCACAAUUGUAAAAAAUUAUAUUAAUGUUAGAAAUCCUCUUUUGGAUUUUGUUACUUCAGUGUAUGCAUGUGGUCCAAUUGAAGUUCAAUUUUUUAAAUUUUUUUUUAAAAAAAACACAUUUUAAGACGGUUCUCUGAAAAACUGUCUUAGAAUGUCUACAUUCUAAGAUGGUUUUAUGAGAAAACGGUCUUAGAAUCCUCAAAAUAUUUUAAAUGUUUUUUAAAAAUAUAUGUGUUAACAUUCUAAGACGUUAGAAUCCUCAAUAUAUUUUAAUUUUUUUAAAGAAAUACAUUCUAAGAAGGUUCUCUAAAAAAUUAUCUUAAAAAGUCUACCCUUCUAAGACAGUUUUUAACUAAGAAACGUCUUACAAAGGUAUCCUUCUAAGAUGGUUUUUAGUUAACAACCAUCUUAGAAGGAUUUCCUUUUCUAAGAUGGUUUUUUAUGUUGCCUACGACGACAGUUAAUAACCAUCAUCGAAUGUGUCUUUUAACCGACAUAGAAAGCGUUUUGUUUAGUAGUGGUUUUUGUUGGCAAAGGAGUCCAGGAUUUCUUCACCUGUCACCUCGUGCAAUUUUUGUGACUAACCUUUCAAUUGCUACAAUUUUACUCAUGAUGUUCCCAAACUGCUUUCACCAAAGUAGUCUUCCUGGAUCUAGUUACUGCUUGUUUUGGUAUUAUUUCAAGUAAAUGUAGAUCUCAUGGAAUUCUGGGUAAGGAGAUGCUGAAUGAAAUCAAGCUGAAGGAUCUUUUUAAUGGAUCAUAAUAUGUUCUUACAUAUGAGGACAAAGAUGGAGAUUGGAUGUUUGUGGGUGAUGUUUCUUGGGAGUAAGUUCUAAUUCAUUUUUGUACUUGCUUUUCUAUUAGAUUUUCUUUGAAGUUUGAAAGAAUAAAUUUCUCAAAGAUGUCAACUUUAUAUUCUAGAAAUUUGUUUUUGUGUGACAUUUGUAGUUUUAAUUCAUAUUAACAUGUCUUGGAAAGGAAGCUAAGAAGUGCAGAUACUUCAAAAUGGUUGCUAUACUAGUGUCCUAUUUAAUACUUCAUCCCAAGAUAGAAGAAAUCAAACUUUGCGAGGUGAAAGCUUUUUUGUUGAUCAAUGUAGGUUCUGUAUGGUUAGUUUGACAAUAUUAUAAUAGAUGAUUUGAGACAUGGAAUGCUCUUUGGAUUCUGGUUGGCCAAAGGCGUUGUUGUAAAUUAUGAGAUGCAAAAGGUUAAUACAUAAUUUUUUCUUGCCCAUAA